Molecule: non-coding RNA, 29 nt
Filed under: Homo sapiens (human)
Lineage: Eukaryota; Metazoa; Chordata; Mammalia; Primates; Hominidae
Source: RNAcentral
UCUGAUGGUUGAGGUCCAUGCAAGGGUCC